RNAcentral lists this ribosomal RNA (1381 nucleotides) under Pilumnus vespertilio. RNAcentral describes it as "16S ribosomal RNA". The stretch from base 895 to 1263 matches the Rfam family "Archaeal large subunit ribosomal RNA", at positions 2150 to 2716 of the family's 2987-position model. Lineage: Eukaryota; Metazoa; Arthropoda; Malacostraca; Decapoda; Pilumnidae. The record is from RNAcentral.
GUUAUAUAAGUUGUUUAAAAAUAUGUUUGUGUAUUAACGAUGUAAGAAAAUCAAUUUAAUUUUAAUUAAAUCAAUAAAGUAAUUGUUAGUGAAAUUUUACUUGUAUACGAUAGUUUAAAAAGUACUGUAAAGGAAGCAGGAUUUUUAAAUAUGAAUUAUUAUAGUAGAUAUAAAUAAUUGUACCUUGUGUAUUAGGGGAAAUUAAAUUUUAUUAAAAAUUUUAAUAAUCCCGAAAUAAAAAUAGCUAAUUUUAUAAAAAGUUCUCGUAAUAAAGAGAUUUUUAAUGUAAAGUUAAAGGUGAAAUGCUAUUCGAGUUUUAUUAUAUCUGGUUUUUUGAAAAAUAAAUUUAAUUUAGGCUUUAAAUUGAUAAUAUAUUUAAAAGUUAAAAGCAGAAGGGAUUAUCUUUUUGUUUAUAAAUGGAUUAGUAAUUAGAUAAAAAAAAAGAAUUUUUCUAGGCUUGAAAGUGGCUGUGAAUAAUAGAGUGUUUUAACAAAAAUUUAAUAAAAAUAGUUUUUAUUUAAUUCUAAUGAAAUAUUCAAAAGUUGAUUUAAAUUUGGUAAGUAAAGUGAUUAUGAUUUUAUUAGUAUAAAAAAAUUUUAAAAUGUGAGAUAAAAGAUUUAAAUAGUUAAUUAAAUUUUAAAAAAUAAAGAUAUAAAAAAGGAACUCGGCAAAUUUAAUCUUUGCCUGUUUAUCAAAAACAUGUCUAUUUGAAGGUAAAAAUAGUCUAGCCUGCUCACUGAUGAGAUUAAAGAGCCGCGGUAUAUUGACCGUGCAAAGGUAGCAUAAUCAUUAGUUUUUUAAUUGAGAACUUGUAUGAAUGGUUGGACAAAGGAAAAGCUGUCUGUGUUUUAUAAAUAUUGAAUUUAACUUUUAAGUGAAAAGGCUUAAAUAAUUUAAAAAGACGAUAAGACCCUAUAAAACUUUAUAUAAAUUUAAAUUUAAUUGAAUUUUAAAAAUUUAAUUUAAUGUAAUAUUUUAUUGGGGCGAUAAAGGUAUAAGUUUAUAUUAACUGCUUUAAAUAAAAACAAUAAUAUUUGGAUAUUAUAAAUGAUCCUUUUAUAAAGAAUGAAAGACUAAGUUACUUUAGGGAUAACAGCGUAAUUUCUUUUGAGAGCCCGUAUCGAAAAAGAAGAUUGCGACCUCGAUGUUGAAUUAAAAUGUCUAUUAUAGGGCAGCUCCUAAAUAAGAAGAUCUGUUCGAUCUUUAAAUUUUUACAUGAUUUGAGUUCAAACCGGCGUGAGCCAGGUUGGUUUCUAUCUUUUAAUUAAAAAAAAAUUAUUUUAGUACGAAAGGAUUAAAUAAUUUUAAAAUUUGAUUUAAAUGGAAUGCUGUAAUGGCAGAGGUGUGUAUGCACUAGAUUUAGGUUCUAGAAACAUAGGGG